UACGGAGGGUGCAAGCGUUACUCGGAAUCACUGGGCGUAAAGGGCGCGUAGGCGGGUUGUCAAGUCUUAAGUGAAAUCCAACGGCUCAACCGUUGAACUGCUUGAGAAACUGGCAGCCUAGAGUGAGGGAGAGGCAGAUGGAAUUGGUGGUGUAGGGGUAAAAUCCGUAGAGAUCACCAGGAAUACCCAUUGCGAAGGCGAUCUGCUGGAACUUUACUGACGCUGAGGCGCGAAAGCGUGGGGAGCAAACAGG
RNAcentral lists this ribosomal RNA (253 nucleotides) under uncultured bacterium. RNAcentral's name for it is "partial 16S ribosomal RNA". It matches the Rfam family "Bacterial small subunit ribosomal RNA", at positions 524 to 776 of the family's 1533-position model. The record is from RNAcentral.